This 982-nucleotide long non-coding RNA is filed under the name Mus spretus (western wild mouse). RNAcentral describes it as "RIKEN cDNA 4930412F09 gene (ENSMSPG00010023426.1)". The record is from RNAcentral. Lineage: Eukaryota; Metazoa; Chordata; Mammalia; Rodentia; Muridae.
GCCCACUGCCGCACGGGGGCGUGGCCAGAAUCUACCCGGAGGCUCGCCACGCCCCGCUUCACAAACUCUGCAAGCCAGGCACACACAUUACUAACAAGCUCUGGAUCCUGUUAAAAGAGAACAUCAGUCACGAAGCACAAGCACAGAAGCCCCCAAGGAUGCUUCCAGAAUUAUGGAGACUUGUACCAAAUGAAGCUGAGGAGAGAAUUCUUAAUGAUGAAGAACUGUUGGAAGCAAGACUGGGAAGGGCUGACCUAUGACUUCUAGCAAAUAACACAACUGUGUCUCCAGAACUGAGUGGAUACUGAGACCCUAAGCCCAUACCUGCCCAACCUAUAGGAGGAAGUAGCCUUGGGGAUGUCACUGUGUUCCUGCCAAUGGCCCAAGGCUCAUUGAGCUAAUUGCUUUCUGGGGAAAGUGGUUUUGCUUUAUAUGUCUUAACAUCUGGGGAGAGAGACCACCUGUACAUCGCAGGAAGCACACCAGGAUGACUACAGCAUGAACAGGCUUGGCGAAGGCCACUGGUAAAAGGCAAGGUGUCCUCUCACAAGGAUACCAAUGUCACCAAAACGAAGUAGAGGAGCCAAUCUAUACCAGUCACUGCAGUUAUCAAGGAGAUUAAAAUACCUCUGCUCAGCCCUAAAAAUGAUGAGAGGAAAAUAAAUUAUGAGACAUUAGCAAUCUAAGGAGAAAGUUGUAGAAUAGCACAUUGUUUAGAAGUAAGACCUUAACACUUCAAGGCUCUUUAGUGAAUGCUGUGCUCGUUAUUGUCAGGUAUAGACACCUAGUAAGAAAGAUGGAUAUCCCAUCAUGCAUUUUAGGCUAAUAGUUGAGUGUGAUGAAAAGAAGACCUUAAUAAGGAAGAAAUCUGAAUUUCCCUUAAAUGAUAACAACAAGCAAAUAGUUGGGCAAAUGGAAUGGCUUGUGUUGGUAGAAGUCAACUUAUUUCUCAAAAAAAAAAAAAGUAAAAUGUUACCUUUUU